UUUAUAAAAGUCUUUUUCAGCGAUGAUAUGCUGAAGAAGAUUUCUUCAUAUGACAGUGGAACAAAAGUAGAUUAGUAGAUUAGGAAGCCAACGAAGGGCAAGGACAAGCAGAUGAAUUCUGGUCAAACAAGUCUUUGGACAGCGCCUUUAUGCCGAUAGAACCAGAAAUAAACAUACCCUUACAAACAGACACCUCCUCUGAACUUCUUAUGUCCUGUGAUCGUCGUCAAGAAUCCAAUGCCACCACCAAAUUCAUCUAGGAUAGUCAAGACCCACCGAUUACCCAAUAAUUACAAGGCGAAACAGGAGCCGGUGGAACGCAGGUCGGUGGCAAAACCUGCUGCCAUCGAUAAUGGCACUAAAGUCGUUAAUUACCGCAACUUCCGACACCAUCCUUAUCAAAUGCCAUUUCUAGUCAAUGAGAAGAGUAACAAGCUAACGUUCACGAAACAAAGAGCCAAUGAUCUUAAACGAAAGGUAGCCAAGAAGCAGAUAAGGCCCUGAUGUCCAGGAAGGUGCUUCUGAAUGUGUCCCCCUUGGAAUGGGUGGCAGAUUAGCUCCACACUUCACCUAGAGGAUGUCAUUGACUAAAGCAUGUCAAAAUACCCUUUAAUAAUUAGCCGAAAGAAGGAACAGUUUCUUCAACACUUCAUCCCCCUCAGCCGUGGUCAUGGCAAGCACUUGGAUCAUUCCCGACUUAUAGAGUCUAGCUGACACUCCGGGCAUAUUCUUAUUCACAUAGUAGACGAAGUUAAUUUCACGAAAGAGUGGUUCUGAGGAAAGGUCGCAGACCUCACUAAAUUUCUGCAAAUUUACGGUCCAAGGAUAGCUGGCACCGGAAAAGAGUCGUAAGUGUAAGAGUGUAAGAGCCUUGAAAUUAACCUUUUCCAUAGUCUUCUCCACGAUAUCGCUUUGGGUUUCAGCCAACAUUGCGCUAUUCCUUCCGCUGAUAAUCAUCACAAUGCCAUUGGCUCAUAUCCAGCCUAUCUGCGUGGCCUCAUAUCGCAUUUCUAUCACAUCCGACUUAGAUGUUGGACAUAUAUGAAGGGUGUGAUUAAAGUGCGACUGGAAAAGGGAAAUGCCCGGACAGCUGGACUUUUUGAGUCGGGAGUGAUGCAAGUGUUUUCCAU
Molecule: long non-coding RNA, 1130 nt
Organism: Drosophila subpulchrella
Lineage: Eukaryota; Metazoa; Arthropoda; Insecta; Diptera; Drosophilidae
Exons: 3
Source: RefSeq, a predicted model, not a curated record